UAGCCAUAAAUUCUUUGCUAAUUCUCUCAUUUGAAACAUGGGUCUAAUUCUCCUCCCUUUGAAUUCAGGCUUGCCUUAAUGACUUGCAUCACCAAUAGAACAUGGCAGAAGUGAUGUUCUGGGACUUCUGAAGCCAAGUAGCAAGAAGCAUUGCAGGUUCCAUUGGGGUUUCUUAAAAUUCUUAUUCCAGGAAUGCUCCCUCUUAGAACCUGGCCUUCUUGCUUUGAACAGUCUGAGGCACAUGAAGAGGCCACAUGUAGGCACGUCAGUCAACAGCUACAGCAGAGGUCCCAGGUGACAGCAUCAACUGCUAGUCACAAUAGUGAGCCAAUUUGGACAUCCAGCCCAGAAGAGAAUUCAGAUGACCACAGCUCCAGCCAACAUUUGAUUACAACUACAUGAGAAACUCCAUAUGGGAACCACCCAGCUGAGCCCAGUCAAUCCAAAGGACCAUGAAACAGGAGAUGCCUGGGUGGAAAUGCUCUUCCUCUCCAGCCAAAUACUGUCAUAUCCAUACAUGAUGUUGGAACCAUCGUCUUGGGACCACAAGGACAAGCUUAGGACCAAGCCAUUAUGCUGAGGAAGGCUGAGCAGACACAAGGAAAAAGAGUCUGGGUCUCCGAUGACAUCCUUGAG
Molecule: long non-coding RNA, 636 nt
Filed under: Homo sapiens (human)
Lineage: Eukaryota; Metazoa; Chordata; Mammalia; Primates; Hominidae
Description: HSALNT0214823
Source: RNAcentral